GUUCUCGUUACAUCACCGAAGUGAAGCAUCAUUGGGCGCGGUCAGUACUUGGGUGGGUGACCACCUGGGAACACUGCGUGCCGUU
Caerostris darwini is the source of this 85-nucleotide non-coding RNA. The record is from the annotation of a GenBank genome assembly. Lineage: Eukaryota; Metazoa; Arthropoda; Arachnida; Araneae; Araneidae.